This 253-nucleotide ribosomal RNA is filed under the name uncultured bacterium. Its description in RNAcentral is "partial 16S ribosomal RNA". It matches the Rfam family "Bacterial small subunit ribosomal RNA", at positions 524 to 776 of the family's 1533-position model. The record is from RNAcentral.
UACGUAGGGGGCAAGCGUUGUCCGGAAUCAUUGGGCGUAAGGAGCGUGUAGGCGGUCCGGUAAGUCGGUUGUGAAAGUCCAGGGCUCAACCCUGGGAUGCCGACCGAUACUGUCGGACUAGAGUUCGGAAGAGGCGAGUGGAAUUCCCGGUGUAGCGGUGAAAUGCGCAGAUAUCGGGAGGAACACCUAUGGCGAAGGCAGCUCGCUGGGACGUUACUGACGCUGAGACGCGAAAGCGUGGGGAGCAAACAGG